GGCGAUGGCCACGUGAUCCCCACCCUUCUUCCGUUUGACCGGAUUCCUUCCCUUCGCUCCUCCAUCCUCGGAUACCCUUCGACCUGCACGUGCGAGGCCGGCGUGGGUGGGAUGCGGCCGCAGGACGGACUCAGCGCCUCACGUGCUUCCGUGCGUCGCGCUGGGCGCUCUCCACGACGCGGUCCACGCACCGUCCGGUGACACGUGCAGCAGCGUAAGAUCCUGGCGACCUAGUUUAUUUUUAAAAACUAGAUUAGUACCGCCAGAUGACAUCGAUUAACAGACAAUAAUGAGCGAGCGUGGUGGUGCGGUCAAGUGUGGAACGUGGGGAAUGAUUCGUUUCCACUGACCGGGGGGAUUAUUUUAACCUCCCCUUUCACCGUCGACUCCCGUCACCGCCAUGUCUCCAACCGUCCAGCUCCCCGUUCGCACCGGCCAGGUGAAGGAAGACUGUGUCGUUUGGUUUUGGAAUAUAUUUGGUUGAAAAGCUCUGAAACGAAAAUGGAAAGGAAUGGUUUCAUUCCAACUAUUUGAUUAGAGAAUUUUUCUAUUCUCAUUUUGAUUCUUGAUGAAUGUAAAAAUAUGCUUUAAUUUUUUGAAAUCUAUUUUUGACUGUUCUCUUAUGUUUUGAUUGGGA
RNAcentral lists this long non-coding RNA (637 nucleotides) under Elaeis guineensis (African oil palm). RNAcentral's name for it is "long non-coding RNA (EGUI_LNC005696)". Lineage: Eukaryota; Viridiplantae; Streptophyta; Magnoliopsida; Arecales; Arecaceae. The record is from RNAcentral.